RNAcentral lists this long non-coding RNA (1089 nucleotides) under Numida meleagris (helmeted guineafowl). Its description in RNAcentral is "lncRNA (ENSNMEG00000000978.1)". Lineage: Eukaryota; Metazoa; Chordata; Aves; Galliformes; Numididae. The record is from RNAcentral.
GCAGGGAAAGGCCAGAAAACAGGAGCUUAAUCCUUCCUCAGUGUCCGGACAAAGGACAACACACUGUGAGACAAAGGGAUAAAUCAUCAGAAAGAGAUUUUAAAAGGACAUUUGAGGAAAGGGAUUGUUGCAGGAGAGAUGAAGGCUCACUAAUGGAUUGAUAAUGCCAGGAACUGGCAAGACUGCAUGUGUUUUGGAACUGAAUUCUGCCCAUGCAACCAGGGGCACAGAAAUUACUUCUCUCUUUUAUCUCAUGUGUGACAGCUAACAAUUUAAUCUGCGUUGUUCAUUAUGCGGGUUGGCUUCUCUUCCUAGUUAGUGGAUUACGGAAACAAAAAGCGCUGUAGUUGUGAAACAAUUACUCUGAUCUUCCAAUUGUUUGUGUGUUACAAAGCAAGAUAAUCUUUCAGAUAUUAAGCAAAUACAUUUAGGCUCUCAAUAACUUGACAUUCAGAAAUGUGCUAGGUGUUCUGAUAAGCAGCUCGUAGGCUCGGGUUUCAUCUGGAGGUCAACUUAACAAGAGGUGUCAUGGGAACAAUAACUUGGAGUCCCUCUUUGAUCAAUCGCUUAUAUGGAGUUACUUCAUUUCCCUUUUAAAGAAAAAAUCUCCCUGGAGUCUGAGGUGAGAUCUGCAGGAGUCUUUGCAGAUUCAGUGUUAGAUGCUGUGUAAAACAGCACUGGGGAUGACUGCUGUCUCUUCUGAUCCUUCCAAACUCUUAUACUAGCUUUUAAAAAUUGUGCAGAAGUGGAGACCCCACGUGUUGCCUGAGAUGGACCUGUUCUAGGUCGAGCGACUGCCACCCUGGGGCGUACUCUGGAUCACAAGUGCGGCUCUUACGUAUUGACCUUCUGGCUCUGGACAACGUUGGAAGUGCAGAACUGUCUGGUAUACGUAAAACACCAAGAUUGUCUUGGAUACACACCACCGGCAUAUCGAGUGGAAGGAUGUCUGAAAAGCUCUCACGCAAAUUCAUGGUGGAGGCCAUUAAUACAGUAACCAUUCAGAUGCAUCUUCUGCAUCAAGAUCCCUUGGACCUGCAGCUGUUGCAGCUCUGUUUCUUGGGAGACCCAGUGAAGUGGUGGCCUUAA